This 767-nucleotide ribosomal RNA is filed under the name uncultured bacterium. RNAcentral's name for it is "bacterial SSU rRNA". It matches the Rfam family "Bacterial small subunit ribosomal RNA", at positions 28 to 808 of the family's 1533-position model. The record is from RNAcentral.
GACGAACGCUGGCGGCGCGCCUAACACAUGCAAGUCGAACGAGCGAGAGAGAGCUUGCUUUCUCAAGCGAGUGGCGAACGGGUGAGUAACGCGUGAGGAACCUGCCUCAAAGAGGGGGACAACAGUUGGAAACGACUGCUAAUACCGCAUAAGCCCACAGGUCGGCAUCGACCGGAGGGAAAAGGAGCAAUCCGCUUUGAGAUGGCCUCGCGUCCGAUUAGCUAGUUGGUGAGGUAAUGGCCCACCAAGGCGACGAUCGGUAGCCGGACUGAGAGGUUGAACGGCCACAUUGGGACUGAGACACGGCCCAGACUCCUACGGGAGGCAGCAGUGGGGAAUAUUGCACAAUGGGGGAAACCCUGAUGCAGCGACGCCGCGUGGAGGAAGAAGGUCUUCGGAUUGUAAACUCCUGUUGUUGAGGAAGAUAAUGACGGUACUCAACAAGGAAGUGACGGCUAACUACGUGCCAGCAGCCGCGGUAAAACGUAGGUCACAAGCGUUGUCCGGAAUUACUGGGUGUAAAGGGAGCGCAGGCGGGAAGACAAGUUGGAAGUGAAAUCUAUGGGCUCAACCCAUAAACUGCUUUCAAAACUGUUUUUCUUGAGUAGUGCAGAGGUAGGCGGAAUUCCCGGUGUAGCGGUGGAAUGCGUAGAUAUCGGGAGGAACACCAGUGGCGAAGGCGGCCUACUGGGCACCAACUGACGCUGAGGCUCGAAAGUGUGGGUAGCAAACAGGAUUAGAUACCCUGGUAGUCCACACCGUAAACG